This is a long non-coding RNA of Telopea speciosissima, 277 nucleotides long. RefSeq lists it as uncharacterized. The transcript has 3 exons. The record is from RefSeq and is a predicted model, not a curated record. Lineage: Eukaryota; Viridiplantae; Streptophyta; Magnoliopsida; Proteales; Proteaceae.
UACUGCACGGUCCGAAACUUGAACCUCAUUAGGGUUUUCAGUUCGACGAUCUGAGAAGGAAGGAGAGGUAGCAGCGGUGCACAGUGAAAUUAAGUGGAGAUGUCGAAGAAGAACAGCUUAUCGCGACGGAAGAAACAGUACGAAUUCGACCUACAAAGAGAAAAAGAAGAGAGAGAGAAGAGGCAAAAGAAACUCCAGGUGAAAAAGACUAAGAUGAAGAUUGAUAGUAGCGGGAAGAAGAAGAAGAAGGGUUCGGGUGGUUUUCAAGUUGGGAAGA